This is a non-coding RNA of Doryrhamphus excisus (bluestripe pipefish), 3352 nucleotides long. Lineage: Eukaryota; Metazoa; Chordata; Actinopteri; Syngnathiformes; Syngnathidae. The record is from RefSeq and is a predicted model, not a curated record.
GAUGGCUGCCUAUUUACCAAACAGAGCAGUAUUGGACUCGUUCAAACUGGCAACUUUUAGAUUAGCCAUAGUUUCGCUAAAAUAGGAUAAAUAUGGUUAGCAUGAUAGCGACUUUACGGCUUAGUAGUUCAUUAGUAGAACAUGUAUGGUGAAAUGUUCCGCCAAUUACAAUCAACCAGAAAGAAAUUCUUCUCAUUCGGCAGAGUGAUACGCCUGUCAAUCACGUUGUCUCUACUAAUGGUUACGCCUACUUUUCCUUCCGGCUUGGAGACGGUAGAGUUUCAUUGCUGCAACGUUUACCGUUUAAAUAAAAAACAACUUGGCGGUGUUUCACUUUUUAAUGUGACCACGCCCUCUUUUCCAGGUAUUUUUUUUAUCUCUGAUUUCAUCCUGUGUUUGGAUGUGUGCAAAACCCCACCAGCAGGUUUGACCGCAACUGUUGUCAGCUACAUAGUGUGCAGACACACACGGAACACAAAAAUGGAGAAGAGAGGCACGUCGGCUUCUGUCACUUACAAGCGUUGGCGAAGUCCCAAUCACGGUACAGAAGGAAUUAUGGACCAUAAAGGUGAAUCCUCUAGUGAAGACAAGGGCGUUUGCUCUAUAAACUUGGACCAAGGAUGCAGGAAGUCUUCAUUGUCCUCCAAUACAGCUCACGAAACCUUUACGCUUGACGGAGCGCUGGAUGCCCUCGGCUUUGGAUGGUUCCAGUGGAAAAUGUUACUACUCACCGGUUUUGCAUGGGUGGCCGAUGCCAUGGAGAUGAUGAUCCUCAGCAUCCUGGGCCCGCAGUUACAUUGUGAGUGGAGGUUGCCCAGCUAUCAAGUGGCCUCCAUUACAUCGGUGGUAUUCCUUGGAAUGGCCUUCAGUUCCUCAUUUUGGGGCAAUUUGUCUGACAAGUACGGCAGGAAAAAGGUGCUGACCAUUUGUAUGUGCUGGACUCUUUACUACAGCAUCCUGAGUGCCUUUGCCCCUCAGUAUGGGUGGCUUUUGGUGUUGCGAGGCCUUGUAGGCUUUGGCAUCGGAGGAGCACCUCAAUCGGUGACAUUGUACUCAGAAUUGCUUCCUUCGAAGAUGAGAGGCACCUGCAUCGUCCUUAUUGCGGCAUUCUGGUCUCUGGGCUGUGUCUUUGAAGUCCUCCUGGCUUUGUGGAUCGUGCCCACUCUCGGCUGGCGGUGGUUGCUAAUCCUUUCUUCUGUACCAUUGGCCAUGUUUAUUUGCUUUUGCUCCUGGUUGCCCGAAAGUCCUCGUUUUGACCUGCUGAAAGGAAAUGAAGCAAAAGCCAUGGUGACGUUGCAGCGCAUGGCUCAAGAAAACGGCAAGGCCCUUCCACGUGGGGAGAUCGUCUGUAACAUUCAGAAUAACCGUGGGCGGAUCAGAGACCUCUUUACACCGCAGUAUUACAAAACUACACUUCUCCUCUGGUUCAUAUGGUUUUCCUAUGCCUUUACCUACUUUGGGAUAAUCCUGCUCACAACAGAGAUGUUCCGAGCUGGAGAUUCAUGUGGAGCGACGCAAGAAGCCAAAGCGGAACCAAACUGUAGUCUGGAAUGCAAGUUUUUGACCUCAAUGGACUACAGAGCCUUUUUGUGGACAACGUUGGCUGAAUUCCCAGGUCUUAUCAUUACUCUGGGGACAGUGGACUACUUGGGCAGGAAGAAAAGCAUGGCGCUGUCCUUCUUCAUCUUUUCUUUAAGCAUCCUACCCUUAUACGCUUGUGUUGGCAGGAUAGCGCUCACACUCUUCAUCUUCAUCGCUAGGGCCUUCAUCUCUGGAGGCUUCCAAGUAGCUUUUGUUUACACACCAGAGGUGUUCCCAACAGAGACCAGAGCUUUAGCCAUGGGUACUUCAAGCGGGUUGUCCAAGUGUGGCGCCUUGAUCACCCCCUUUGUGGCACAGGUGCUGCUAAGACAGUCGGUGUACCUGACCCUGGCCGUGUACUGUGGCUGCUCUCUGCUGGCUGGCAUUGUGUCCCUGUUCCUUCCCAUCGAGACCUUAGGAAGGGCCCUUCAGGAGUCCAAGCACGGGAGUGUCUGACUCUCAGAUCAGCCACACUCGCAGAAAAGACCCAGGACUGUUGGGGAAGACAUUUAAAAAAAGAUGGACUGCAUCAACCUGAGUGAUGAUGAGUGAAAAGAGGAAGGAAUCUUAAACACAGCAUCCUGCAGGAGGAAAGGUUUAAGGGAGACACAUAAUAGAAAGUGAGCUGGGCCGGUGUGUGAUUGUACAACACUAAGUGCCCACUCUUUAAAGUUAAGUCUCGAACGGACUACAGUGAAAUAGCAUCCAUAUGGAUCUUCCAUGUCCUACUUUGUUCAUAUUUCCUGCUUUGGUUUUCGUCUGGCCUUUUGGAAUGGAUUACUGCUGAAAACCGAGGUUCCAAUCUCUUUCAGGUUGAGAGCAGUUAAUGGAGGAAAAGCCUGCAGGUACGAUUCAAGUCACCAGUCACAUUUAUUGUUUACAUUGUACAGGGAGAAAAGUAUUUUUUUGAAAAUUUGCUUCUUUUUUUUUUUAAUUAAAAUCAUUCAAUCUGCUCUAAAAAUCUUACUCUUGGCACUGAAAGUUAAAGAGUUGAAAACUUAUACAACAUAUAAAAUACUUAUUUUAGAUAUGUCUAUCAGUGGCAGGCAAAUAUUUUUGGUACCAUGGCCUUCAAUGGGGCCUAUACAUAGUAAUGGUAAUGGUUUUAUUUCAUUUGAACAUGCAUCAGAUUACAAUUGAGUGCAUCCCAUAAUCAGUUCCCAGUUCCACAUGUCCAAAAGGAGUAGGAAGAAGCAAAGCUUAUUAAAUCCUACCCCUCCAUCUGGUACUUUUACAAUCAGUAACUGUUACAUUUGUUCACUUCCUGCUUUCCAUAAUACAGUUUAAGGUUGUUUUUUUUUUAAAUAAUGCAGCUCAUACCGAAGUAUGAGGUGAUAUGACCAUCCAAUGCCAUAAUGUGUACCAUAGUAAGUGUCAAUAUAGUGAUAUUUAUAGCACAUCAUGACUGGUUCAAGACUCUUCAUCCUUGUAUUUAGCAAACAUCAACUGCUUGUAUUGUUUCUUAUUGUUUGAGGUCCUUACUCAAUCCAUUCCAUAGUUUGAUUCCACAUACUGAAAUGCUAUGGCUUUUUAACAUAGUCCUAGCAUACAAGUGUUUCACAUUACUUAUGACUUACACCACGUCUUAAUACCACUGCUAUCAUGUCACAAUUAUACAAACUACUAAUAAACACGACCGCCGAUACACCCGAGUUACAAUUCUGCUGGCAACUUUGAGCUUCAUGUAACUUCAACAGCUGCCUGCAAGUAUAUGACAAUGUUAACAAGCGUUAUACAAAUCCCAAACAUCACUUGGAGCAGCUCAGAAUCA